GCCCCGUUGGCUCAGUGGUAAAGCGUGUCACUAGUAACGUCAAGUCAUGACAAGAUCACUGGUUCGAUUCCAGUACGGGGCA
RNAcentral lists this transfer RNA (82 nucleotides) under Metarhizium rileyi. RNAcentral describes it as "tRNA-Thr". It matches the Rfam family "tRNA". Rfam says of the family: Transfer RNA (tRNA) molecules are approximately 80 nucleotides in length. Their secondary structure includes four short double-helical elements and three loops (D, anti-codon, and T loops). Further hydrogen bonds mediate the characteristic L-shaped molecular structure. tRNAs have two regions of fundamental functional importance: the anti-codon, which is responsible for specific mRNA codon recognition, and the 3' end, to which the tRNAs corresponding amino acid is attached (by aminoacyl-tRNA synthetases). tRNAs cope with the degeneracy of the genetic code in two manners: having more than one tRNA (with a specific anti-codon) for a particular amino acid; and 'wobble' base-pairing, i.e. permitting non-standard base-pairing at the 3rd anti-codon position. The record is from RNAcentral. Lineage: Eukaryota; Fungi; Ascomycota; Sordariomycetes; Hypocreales; Clavicipitaceae.